This is a long non-coding RNA of Rosa chinensis, 896 nucleotides long. RefSeq lists it as uncharacterized. The transcript is spliced from 3 exons. The record is from RefSeq and is a predicted model, not a curated record. Lineage: Eukaryota; Viridiplantae; Streptophyta; Magnoliopsida; Rosales; Rosaceae.
UCGCGAGGCAGACGUCUCAUUCCGCGUCUCCUCCUCCUCCUUCUUCUUCUUCAGUGUUUGGACUCUCAGAUCGCCUUCUUCCUCAACUCGUCGUGACCUCCUUCAAUUCGUGGAUUGUCGCCGCCUUCCUCUGUGCCAUCUUCUUCAGGUCGUCGUGGAUCCUCGCCGGGCCUUCCCCUGCGCCUUCUUCUUCAGCUCGUCGCUGGUGAUCUCCUUCAAUUCGUGGAUUCUCGUCACUGAAAGGUCAGUUUGAGUGCAUUUGAGUUCUUGUUUUUGGAGCUUGUGCAGUACAAUCAGACAUAGGUUGACAACAUUGUCGAGCUAGAAUGAAGAAAGGGAAUUUCGGCUUCGGCUCUGCCCUACAAGAGGACCCCUCCUAGCUGGUUGAAGAUCUCAACUCAGGAUGUGAGAAUCUCCAACACUAAUCUCUGAACAACGUACUUGGGUUGUGUUUUGAUUUGUUUGAUUGACGAGAAAAUUGAGAUAAAUUUUGAAUAUUUAUCUCAAUUUCUUCAUUGAGGCUUGUGUAAAGGAUUGCUUCACUUAUGUAAUCACGCUGUACGGGUCUUGACAAUCACAGUUGCCAAACAGAGCCCUAGCAGCGUCUCUUUGUCUUCCUGCUAAUCUUCAGUGUGUAUUGAUAGACAGAGGAAUUCGGUUUUGUCUCCUUUCGUUUUCAUCAGUAUGGUGCCUAUUUUAUGAAGUAAUGCAUUGUUUGAAUGCAAUGUGGCCACAUUUUACCUUUCUAUGCACCAAAUGGAACGUCGAGUCUGGUUCUAGCUUCCUUGCGUGAUAUCCUAAUUUGAUGCAAGUUUUGGUGUUACAAGUCUACUGAUGUCUUGUUAUUACAUGCAGAAUCUUUGUUACUUAUUGGAAAUUGGUCCUUUAGUUUGGCU